RNAcentral lists this long non-coding RNA (437 nucleotides) under Zalophus californianus (California sea lion). Its description in RNAcentral is "lncRNA (ENSZCAG00015010329.1)". Lineage: Eukaryota; Metazoa; Chordata; Mammalia; Carnivora; Otariidae. The record is from RNAcentral.
UCGAUUGGGCCGGCGCGUGACGUCACGCCGUUUUAGCCAAACAAAUGGGUUUCGGGGCGAGCGUUGGGCUCCGCCGCGCCGCGCUGGGCGCUCGGUCCGCCUCAGCGGUGGGGAGCGAGCCAGGCCUCCCGCCGCCGCCGCCGCCGCCGCCGCAUCGGGGUGUGCAGCCCCGGGCCAGGCCCGGGCCGGGGCAGGAGCGCAGAGUUAAAUGGAAAGUCUCUUUAUAUUGUUUGGAAAGAAUGUAGGCUUGCAGAGGGAAACCCAGUGUGAGAUACUGAGUCAUUUGGUAUAAACUGCUGAGCUAACUACCUUCUGAAAGGUAAGCCACCACCUUUUCCUGAAUUGGGCCAGAUUGGGUAUCAUAUGACACAGCAAUAUCCCUAACUAAUAGUUGGAAUUACAGAUGAUUUUGAAUAUUAGGUGAUGUGGGAAACAAA